RNAcentral lists this long non-coding RNA (699 nucleotides) under Elaeis guineensis (African oil palm). RNAcentral describes it as "long non-coding RNA (EGUI_LNC032079)". Lineage: Eukaryota; Viridiplantae; Streptophyta; Magnoliopsida; Arecales; Arecaceae. The record is from RNAcentral.
UCCUUUAGCAAAAUUACUUUACAAUACUUAUUUCACAUAAUUUGCUUACCUUCUACCAAAAGGGCAUAAGCAAAUUCAAGCAUCUAUAUGAUUAGAUCGAUCAACAGCAAUGAUCAUGUUGGAUGCAUAUCAAAUGAUAUAGUCUUAUCGUAGUCAUAGCAAGAUGAGCAUCUGAAUCAGCUGUUAUAUUACUUUCUCCACAAGCAUGCCUGAAAACUAGCAGUGCAAACUUCACAUGGCUGUAGCUAUUGUUAAUCCAGGUCCACCAACAACCAAAGUCCUCCAGUAAUGGCGCACAGCAGAUGGAGAGUUGAUUUUCAGUGUUUCCUGCUAUGAAGGUUCUAACUGUAUCUACUUCGUGCAUCAUUUUUGAGAUGUUAGCCAUUUGAAAUAUCUUGGUCUUUGAAACCUAGAGAUUCAUAAACAAACUCAAUCCCUGAUUGAAUGAAAUGGCUGUAAAACUUGUUGCAUCGGGAACACCCUUUGGUGAAGAUUUUAUAGCUUGAAGAUUGGUAUCAACAUUUAGAGGAUCCAAACCUGAUAUACAAGAAGAAAGUUAUAGGCUAUCCAUGUUUCUUUUAGGCCCCCUUUUGAAUAAUGUUUCAUUUAAGAUCGACAAGGUAUCUUAUAUCAAAUUCAUUUCCAUUACUUACUAUUCUCUUGUACCGGAUAUUUUAAAUUACAUUGCUCCUCCCAAUG